RNAcentral lists this ribosomal RNA (930 nucleotides) under uncultured bacterium. RNAcentral describes it as "bacterial SSU rRNA". It matches the Rfam family "Bacterial small subunit ribosomal RNA", at positions 579 to 1501 of the family's 1533-position model. The record is from RNAcentral.
UUUGUCGCGUCUGCCGUGAAAGUCCGAGGCUCAACCUCGGAUCUGCGGUGGGUACGGGCAGACUAGAGUGAUGUAGGGGAGACUGGAAUUCCUGGUGUAGCGUGAAAUGCGCAGAUAUCAGGAGGAACACCGAUGGCGAAGGCAGGUCUCUGGGCAUUUACUGACGCUGAGGAGCGAAAGCAUGGGGAGCGAACAGGAUUAGAUACCGUGGUAGUCCAUGCCGUAAACGUUGGGCACUAGGUGUGGGGGACAUUCCACGUUUUCCGCGCCGUAGCUAACGCAUUAAGUGCCCCGCCUGGGGAGUACGGCCGCAAGGCUAAAACUCAAAGGAAUUGACGGGGGCCCGCACAAGCGGCGGAGCAUGCGGAUUAAUUCGAUGCAACGCGAAGAACCUUACCAAGGCUUGACAUGUGCCAGACCGCCUCAGAGAUGGGGUUUCCCUUCGGGGCUGGUUCACAGGUGGUGCAUGGUUGUCGUCAGCUCGUGUCGUGAGAUGUUGGGUUAAGUCCCGCAACGAGCGCAACCCUCGUUCCAUGUUGCCAGCACGUAAAGGUGGGGACUCAUGGGAGACUGCCGGGGUCAACUCGGAGGAAGGUGGGGAUGACGUCAAAUCAUCAUGCCCCUUAUGUCUUGGGCUUCACGCAUGCUACAAUGGCCGGUACAAUGGGUUGCGAUACUGUGAGGUGGAGCUAAUCCCUAAAAGCCGGUCUCAGUUCGGAUUGGGGUCUGCAACUCGACCCCAUGAAGUCGGAGUCGCUAGUAAUCGCAGAUCAGCAACGCUGCGGUGAAUACGUUCCCGGGCCUUGUACACACCGCCCGUCAAGUCACGAAAGUUGGUAACACCCGAAGCCGAUGGCCUAACCACCUUGUGUGGGGGGAGUCGUCGAAGGUGGGACUGGCGAUUGGGACUAAGUCGUAACAGGGGUAACC